This 352-nucleotide unclassified non-coding RNA is filed under the name Drosophila virilis. RNAcentral's name for it is "GJ16543". Lineage: Eukaryota; Metazoa; Arthropoda; Insecta; Diptera; Drosophilidae. The record is from RNAcentral.
CGUUUAAGCGGUGUCUUUUUGGUUUGGGCCCUGUGGUUAAUUCCAGUCGCAUUUGCGAAAGGGAACAGGACUCUUGGAAAGCUAGAUUCUAUGAUAAACUCAACGUAUUCGGAGAUAAGGCAAAAGAUGCUUGGAGAUUUGGUAAUGAGUCCCUCAAUGUCUUCUGAACAGGUAGGUAAUGGCUAGAUAAAUAUUUUGAAAAACAAGCAGCCCUGCAAAGGAAUAGGCAUGACCUGCGACAUUGCCGAGGACUGUUGCACCCUUCUCUGCUUGAAGCGGUAUAAUGAGUGCGUGAUUUAGAAACUGGUUAGAUAGAAUUCAAAACAAAUAAAUUGUUAAAUAAUUAAAAGCA